UACGUAGGGGGCUAGCGUUGUCCGGAAUCAUUGGGCGUAAAGCGCGUGUAGGCGGUCCGGUAAGUCCGCUGUGAAAGCUCGGGGCUCAACCCGAGUCGGCCGUGCGAACUGCUGGGCUUGAGCACUGUAGAGGCAGGCGGAAUUCCGGGUGUAGCGGUGGAAUGCGUAGAGAUCCGGAAGAACACCGGUGGCGAAGGCGGCCUGCUGGGCAGUAGCUGACACUGAGGCGCGACAGCGUGGGGAGCAAACAGG
RNAcentral lists this ribosomal RNA (252 nucleotides) under uncultured bacterium. RNAcentral describes it as "partial 16S ribosomal RNA". It matches the Rfam family "Bacterial small subunit ribosomal RNA", at positions 524 to 776 of the family's 1533-position model. The record is from RNAcentral.